AGUGAACGCUGGCGGUAGGCCUAACACAUGCAAGUCGAACGGCAGCACAGUAAGAGCUUGCUCUUACGGGUGGCGAGUGGCGGACGGGUGAGGAAUACAUCGGAAUCUACUUUUUCGUGGGGGAUAACGUAGGGAAACUUACGCUAAUACCGCAUACGACCUACGGGUGAAAGCAGGGGAUCUUCGGACCUUGCGCGAUUGAAUGAGCCGAUGUCGGAUUAGCUAGUUGGCGGGGUAAAGGCCCACCAAGGCGACGAUCCGUAGCUGGUCUGAGAGGAUGAUCCGCCCAAAUGGAACUGGAAAAAGGUCCAGACUCCUACGGGAGGCAACAGGGGGGAAUAUUGGACAAUGGGCGCAAGCCUGAUCCCGCCCUACCGGGGGGGUGAAAAAGGCCUUCGGGUUGUAAAGCCCUUUUUUUGGGAAAAAAAAGCAGCCGGUUAAUACCCCGCUGUUCUGACGGUACCCAAAGAAUAAGCACCGGCUAACUUCGUG
RNAcentral lists this ribosomal RNA (492 nucleotides) under uncultured bacterium. RNAcentral's name for it is "partial 16S ribosomal RNA". It matches the Rfam family "Bacterial small subunit ribosomal RNA", at positions 29 to 507 of the family's 1533-position model. The record is from RNAcentral.